RNAcentral lists this unclassified non-coding RNA (753 nucleotides) under uncultured bacterium. RNAcentral's name for it is "partial contains 16S-23S ribosomal RNA intergenic spacer and 23S ribosomal RNA". The stretch from base 641 to 753 matches the Rfam family "Bacterial large subunit ribosomal RNA", at positions 1 to 113 of the family's 2925-position model. The record is from RNAcentral.
ACCGGAAGGUGUGGCUGGAUCACCUCCUUUCUAGCGAGACCUGAAGGCGAGUCGCGUGGUAAACCACGUCGGCUAACGCCCCAGCUCCAUAGAGAGCAAAAAGCCCCGUAAAAUGGGCGGCUGUAGGACACUCUACAGCCAGGCCGGUGGGAAACUGCCGGGAGCCGGUAUAGGCCGGUAAAGAAGAAGGAAAUGACUCCGAGACUGUCUUAUCACUCUUUAGCGGUUAAAGUCCGCUAGACAAUUGCUGAAGUGUAUUGGCAUGGGGCGAGCCGGUGUGGGCCGGGUCAUGGGCGGCGGGGCGGUAAGCCUCGUGAAAUCCGGGCCUGUAGCUCAGUCGGUUAGAGCACUGUGCUGAUAACGCAGGGGUCAGUGGUUCGAAUCCACUCCAGGCCCACACCCGAUGCGAGACCUAGUGCGGAGGCGGCGAGAGCGGCCUCGUCGAUUUAAGGAGCCGUCUUUAGGAUUCGUUCUGAAGAUGGGUCUGCGAGUCGGUAGGCAUCGGGAGCGGUUGGCACGUUAACAACUGAAUAGGAUUGGGAAGAAGCGUCUUCCUGGUGGUUUAGACGGGGGGCCUGAACGGUAGCGAUACCGGUCAGCCAACGGUUGUGAACGGUCAGGAAGCGUGGGGAUUACACAAGAUUAAGCUACUAAGGGCGCACGGGGAAUGCCUUGGCGUCAAGAGCCGAAGAAGGACGUGUAGCGCUGCGAAAAGCUACGGGGAGCUGCGCUAAAGCUAAGAGCCGUAGAUGU